This 412-nucleotide unclassified non-coding RNA is filed under the name Hevea brasiliensis (rubber tree). Lineage: Eukaryota; Viridiplantae; Streptophyta; Magnoliopsida; Malpighiales; Euphorbiaceae. The record is from RNAcentral.
CAAAUUUGGCGCUCUCUCUAUCUCUUGCCUGAAAUCAGAAACUUUGAGUGUUGAAAUGAAGGAGAUUCAAAGAAGAAAAGUCCGUAAUAAUACGGAGAAACCUUUCCCUGGAUGCUUGGGAAGAAUGGUAAACCUGUUUGACUUGAGUGCAGGCGUUAAUAGGAACAAGCUUCUGACGGAUAAACCGCAUCGUGAUGUUUCUUUACUUCCAAGAAGCCACUCAGAUGCAGCCAUUGAGUUGAAUUCCUCCCGUGAUGGUCAGAUAGAGGAUGGAUUGGGACAAUCAAUUGGGAAGGCAAAUCGAACACCCAUGAAGAUGCUCAUAGACCAGGAAAUGUCAAAAGAUGCCGAGUCUAAGAUUGCUCCCCCAAAUGUUGUUGCAAAGUUGAUGGGUCUAGAUACACUGCCCGAG